This 71-nucleotide transfer RNA is filed under the name Podarcis lilfordi (Lilford's wall lizard). It matches the Rfam family "tRNA". From Rfam's summary of the family: Transfer RNA (tRNA) molecules are approximately 80 nucleotides in length. Their secondary structure includes four short double-helical elements and three loops (D, anti-codon, and T loops). The record is from Rfam by way of RNAcentral. Lineage: Eukaryota; Metazoa; Chordata; Lepidosauria; Squamata; Lacertidae.
GUCUUAGCUCAGUUAGUUGGAGCGUGGUGCUGAUAAUGCCAAGGUUGCAGGUUCGAUCCCCGUAUAGGACU